RNAcentral lists this ribosomal RNA (455 nucleotides) under Triticum dicoccoides. RNAcentral describes it as "rRNA SSU_rRNA_eukarya". It matches the Rfam family "Eukaryotic small subunit ribosomal RNA", at positions 656 to 1116 of the family's 1831-position model. Lineage: Eukaryota; Viridiplantae; Streptophyta; Magnoliopsida; Poales; Poaceae. The record is from RNAcentral.
CGGGGAAAAUGCUCAAAUGCAUGAGACGAACACGUAUGCAAUGCAAUGCACAUGAUGACAUGAUAAAAUGCAACACACAAUCAAAUGACAUGGCAAAGACGGUGAAUAAUUGGCAGACUCUUGGCGCAUCGAAUCCGGGGCGUUACAAUGGGAUAACAUUAUACAAUUCCGGUCCUAUUGUGUUGCCCUUCGGGAUUGGAGUAAUGAUUAAUAGGGACAGUCGAGGGCAUUCGUAUUUCAUUGUCAGAGGUGAAAUUAUUGGAUUUAUGGAAGACGAACAACUAUGAAAGCAUUUGCCUAGGAAGUUUUCAUUAAUCAAGAACAAAAGUUGGGGGCUCGAGGACGAUCAGAUAUUGUCCUAGUCUAAACCAUAAACGAUGCCGACCAGGGAUCGGCGGAUGUUGCUUAUAGGACUCCGCUGGCACCUUAUGAGAAAUCAAAUUCUCUAGGAUCCG